Pseudophryne corroboree (corroboree frog) is the source of this 102-nucleotide small nuclear RNA. Lineage: Eukaryota; Metazoa; Chordata; Amphibia; Anura; Myobatrachidae. The record is from RefSeq and is a predicted model, not a curated record.
CUUCUUGCUUCUGCAGAACAUAUACCAAAAUUGGAAUGAUACGGAAGAGAUUAGCUUGGCCACUACACAAGGAUGACAUGUCCAUUUUGUUGGCAGAGUAUU